AUGUUAGACAAUCUUGGAGUAAUAUUUUGGAAUGUGCGUGGUCUAAACAGCCGGGCCAAGCGCUCCACUGUCCGCACGGUGAUCUCUGCUGCCUCUCCUUGUAUUGUUUGCCUCCAAGAAACAAAACUCUCUUCUGUCUCGUCGGUGAUCGUUCUUGACAUUCUUGGUGUCCUCUUUGAUGGCUUUUUCUGGCUUCCGUCUGAUGGUACACGUGGAGGCAUCAUCUUAGCCUGGCAAUCUAGCUUUCUCUCUCUUUCUAAUCCCGUUAUUGGCGAGCACCAUGUCUCUGCCAUGGUUUGCUCUCCCUUGGGCGGUGACCAUUGGUGGAUUACAGGAGCGUAUGGUCCCCAAGGCAACGACGCGAAGGUGGCCUUCCUCGACGAACUCCAAGCCUUUGUGCCAAUUUGGUCGGCCCUUGGUUUGUGGGAGGUGAUUUCAACAUGA
RNAcentral lists this ribosomal RNA (444 nucleotides) under Triticum aestivum (bread wheat). Its description in RNAcentral is "partial small subunit ribosomal RNA". Lineage: Eukaryota; Viridiplantae; Streptophyta; Magnoliopsida; Poales; Poaceae. The record is from RNAcentral.